GGAAUACAAAAGGUAAAGGUGAAAUUUGGUAGAACCUUUGUGGACUAUACAGAAUUGAUCUUAUAAAUAAUUUCAUCUUUGAAUCCUGUGGUAGUAAUCUGGAUUAGAUACCCAAGUAAUCAUAGAAGUAAACUCUAGCUAAUUGUAAACUGGUUAACAAGUGUUAAGAUAAAUUGGGCUCAUCUUAUGAUUACGCUUUUUCAAGUGAAAGUUAAAGGUGCUGGUGGUAAUUUAGAACAAUGGUGGAAUUGAUGAUUUAAUUCGACGUUACACGAUAAAUCUUAUCUUAGAUUAAUUUGUGAUGUUGGUUUCAACAUGGUCUUACGUCAUUAAGUGUUGCAUGGCUGUCUUAAGGUAGUGUCAUACGACUCAACUACCGCAAUACUAUUUGGUUAGAGUGAUCUUACUAUUAGUAUUCACCUCAAAGUAGAUCAAGGUCGAGUCAUUAUGAUCUAUGCUAAGAGCUAUCCAUCAGUAACAAUACCUAUGUUUAUAUAUUAAUUGUCCUAAUUUUAAACGAAAAAUAGGUCUACGGAUUGAAGGUUGAAAUGUCUUCAUGACAGUUGGAAUCAUUAGUAAACCCAUGGUUAGUUAAACUGGGUUGAAUAAGAGAUAAGUUGCGUUCAUACUGCCCGUCAAAUAAAUAGAGGUGUCUUGGAUAUAGUCAUUUUUAACGGACCCAAUUAACACCAAUAAGUAUUAAGUCGAAACACGGUAAGUUAAACGGAAGUUGAAGUUGG
Molecule: ribosomal RNA, 740 nt
Filed under: Amphidinium massartii
Lineage: Eukaryota; Dinophyceae; Amphidiniales; Amphidiniaceae
Description: partial Bacterial small subunit ribosomal RNA
Rfam family: Bacterial small subunit ribosomal RNA
Source: RNAcentral